Molecule: transfer RNA, 73 nt
Filed under: Marmota monax (woodchuck)
Lineage: Eukaryota; Metazoa; Chordata; Mammalia; Rodentia; Sciuridae
Description: tRNA.Ala
Rfam family: tRNA
About the family: Transfer RNA (tRNA) molecules are approximately 80 nucleotides in length. Their secondary structure includes four short double-helical elements and three loops (D, anti-codon, and T loops). Further hydrogen bonds mediate the characteristic L-shaped molecular structure. tRNAs have two regions of fundamental functional importance: the anti-codon, which is responsible for specific mRNA codon recognition, and the 3' end, to which the tRNAs corresponding amino acid is attached (by aminoacyl-tRNA synthetases). tRNAs cope with the degeneracy of the genetic code in two manners: having more than one tRNA (with a specific anti-codon) for a particular amino acid; and 'wobble' base-pairing, i.e. permitting non-standard base-pairing at the 3rd anti-codon position.
Source: RNAcentral
UGGGGUUGUGGCUCAGUGGUAGAGUGCUUACCUAGCAAGUGAGAGGCCCUGGGUUCAAUCUUCAGCACCACAA